RNAcentral lists this ribosomal RNA (253 nucleotides) under uncultured bacterium. Its description in RNAcentral is "partial 16S ribosomal RNA". It matches the Rfam family "Bacterial small subunit ribosomal RNA", at positions 524 to 776 of the family's 1533-position model. The record is from RNAcentral.
UACGGAGGGUGCGAGCGUUGUCCGGAAUCACUGGGCGUAAAGGGCGCGUAGGCGGCCUGAUAAGUAGGGGGUGAAAUCCUGCGGCUUAACCGAGGAACUGCCCUCCAAACUGCCUGGCUUGAGUCCGGGAGAGGUGAGUGGAAUUCCCAGUGUAGCGGUGAAAUGCGUAGAUAUUGGGAGGAACACCUGUGGUGUAGACAACUUACUGGACCAUAACUGACGCUGAGGCACGAAAGCGUGGGUAGCAAACAGG